ACAGUCACAAACAAAAUCCACUGCCAACUCUGGAUUUUAACAAUAUCAAAUAGCAGUUUCUGCCAUGAUGGAAAUGACCAUGGUGGCCACUAAUAACAUGGGCCUAUUGCAUACUUGAAAGGGCACAAAAGCAAUAAACAUUCACUAGAGACCAUACUUUGGAUUUUGAUCUUCCCUGAGCUACAGAUACUCUCAUGAUGCUGGGCGGCAGCAGCAAGCCACAGCUCCCAGUCAACACACAAUCAUGAGGAUGAACAACUGAUACUCUACACUCACUUGGCCACUGCAUUGUCCAGCUGAGGUGACACUGGACACCCAGUAUCUCAGCCAGGCAUCAAGGGAGAGGGCCAAGACAAGCACAGAUGGAUCAAGAGACUCUGGGCUCCUGUCUAAAAAUCAUUUAAAGUGCAUGCAAUCUAAACAUCAAAGCAAUCACUCAAUGACCUUAGUUUAAAUUUUGGAUCAUCAAAGUAAAAUCCAAAGGGAAGAGAAAUUCUCUUCUGAGGCCUGUAGUAAUGACCUUACAGUUAUAUUUUUAUUUUGGUUUGGUUUGUUUUCUUCCAGUGCUUCAGGCUUUGAGAAGCUCUAGAUGUCCAACCAAAGAUAGAAAUCUGAAAAACAAGUGGAAAAUCUAAGUCCCCCAAAGCCUACUCAAAUUUCAGUCAGUAUUUCAAAACAGCAGCAGGUGACAAACACUUAACAGAAACUAGAAACCACCCACCUUGUGCUGCCUCACAAGGCACAGUUUUUCUCC
This is a long non-coding RNA of Heterocephalus glaber (naked mole-rat), 754 nucleotides long. RefSeq lists it as uncharacterized. NCBI's taxonomy places the organism in Eukaryota, Metazoa, Chordata, Mammalia, Rodentia, Bathyergidae. The record is from RefSeq and is a predicted model, not a curated record.